RNAcentral lists this ribosomal RNA (491 nucleotides) under uncultured bacterium. Its description in RNAcentral is "bacterial SSU rRNA". It matches the Rfam family "Bacterial small subunit ribosomal RNA", at positions 998 to 1498 of the family's 1533-position model. The record is from RNAcentral.
CACGUGAAAGGCGUGUUUCUCUCACGAGCAGUUUGCAAGGUGCUGCAUGGUGGUCGUCAGCUCGUGCCGUGAGGUGUCGGGUUAAGUCCCAUAACGAGCGCAACCCCUAUCAUUAGUUGCCAUCAGGUAAAGCGGGGGACUCUAAUGAAACUGCCUACGCAAGUAGUGAGGAAGGUGGGGAUGACGUCAAAUCAGCACGGCCCUUAUGUCUAGGGCUACACACGUGCUACAAUGGUCGAUACAAUGGGUCGCUACCUGGUGACAGGAUGCUAAUCUCAAAAGUCGAUCUCAGUUCGGAUCGAAGUCUGCAACUCGACUUCGUGAAGUUGGAUUCGCUAGUAAUCGUAUAUCAGCAAUGAUACGGUGAAUACGUUCCCGGGCCUUGUACACACCGCCCGUCAAGCCAUGGAAGUUGGGGAUACCUGAAGUCAGUGACCGCAAGGAGCUGCCUAGGGUAAAAUCAAUAACUGGGGCUAAGUCGUAACAAGGUA